ACCCCACAAGACUCGUGACAGCGUAGCACAGAACAGGUUCACACAUACACUCAGGCGCACGUGCACACACACCCCCUCACCCUCAUACUCAAUCCCAUGAAAUUCAGCCACAAGCUUGAGGCGCUUAUGCCAUCAGACCCCACCUGGGACUAGAGAACCAGAAAGUUCGGACUCCGUCACUCGGCUCCAGGAGCCCACGGAGGGCACGAGAUCUUCCUCCAUCUUUCCUUUCCAGUUACCCACAGACCCGUGCCCCUCCUUUCUCACAGAUGCCCGCAUCCUCAUCGCUGGCACUAGCGUGAACAUGAGUUCUGGGGAUGUGGUAAGUUAUGACCAUGUUAUAGAGAGAGGAAGGUUGCAGGUACAGUUAGGGUUACUAAUCACUUGAUUCUGAGAUGGGGAGACGAUUCUGGAUUAUCUAGGUGGGUCCCAGGAAUUGCACAGGUGAGGCUGGAGGAGCAGGGUCAGAGAAGGAGGUGUGAGGAGAGGCGGCAGUGAGAACUACCUGCUCUGAAAGCAGAGGAAGUGCCCCAGCCAAGGAGUGUGGGCAGCCUGGAGAGAUGAGCAGAGGCAGGAAACAGGUGCCGUCCUGCUGGCAUCUUGAUUUUAGCCCUGUGAGACCCCCGUCCAACUGACCGCAAGGACGGAGAAUACAUUGGCGUGGUUUUAAGCCACUAAGGCUGUGGCCCUUUGUGACAGCAGCCAGAGGGGGCUCAGACAUCUUCCUCUGCAGGACCAGGCCUGUCCCACGAGCUCUGUUCAGUGAACCCUAGUCGUUCACGACCUGGGCAGGUGUCACUGUGGGCGCCUCUGUUGAUGCUCACCUCUUGGGAUCCUAAAGGAAGUCCUUUUCCACCUUGUAGGGCUGGCCCCAGGAAUGUAACUAUCUCUUAUCAGUGGCCAUAACCACACCCAAGAGAGCUCUGAUAGCCUGGGGCCUAGAAGGGAAGGGGGCCAGCAGGCCUGGAGCCUCAGGGAUGCCACGAGCGGCCCGGGGAGCCCUGUGUGCCGUGAUCAGCCAGUCCUUCCUCCCCCCCCCCUCCGCCCCGAAGCCCUCCCCACCACCCCCCUUUUUAAAAAAACAAAAACUACAAUAUUAGGUUCAGGCAGCUGGCUUUUUAUUAUUCAUUUGGAUUUCUAAAUAGGAACAUUCUGGCUUUAAUUAGAAUGAAUAAUAUGAGCGGUAGAAAUAGUCAAAUAUCACAGGGCUUCAUUAUUUACACCAUUGAUUUCGACAGGCAGAGAAACACAGAGUAGGACAUGUGCUCGGCACUGUGGAAAGAACAGAGCGGCCUCGAUCGGCUUCCAUCCCCACCCACCGAGGGGACCCUGAGUCUCCCUCUCCAGAGGCAAGAAAACCUCAGGACCUGGGGUCUCGCUGUUGCGGGAGAGACAGAUUGCACAACAGUUGUCAUCCAAGCAGUGACGGAUUGGCGUGGGACCUUGUGCUUCAUACCCCAUGUCAGGACGUUCAGGACGCGUUUUGCUCACCUAGUCCUGGCAGUUGGCCUGUAUUGAGGAACAUUUUUGUCCCACUUGACAGAUGAGAAACCUGACUUCAGAGUGGGGAAGUGCCUUGUGCGUCCACGAGGCCACAGGGAGGUAAAUGUCUAUACCAGGCGGGCUGGCCUCGGGGGCUGCCGACUGGGGGAUGCUGGCCAUGUGUGUUCAGUGCCUUAGGCCAGUGGUUCCCAAACGUGGCUGCCCCUUAAAAUCACCCAGGCAGCUCUCAAAACCGGAUGUCUGGGUCGCACCCCAGACCUAUUCCAUCUGCAUGUCUGGCUGUGGGAGGCAGGCUUUUCCGUGUCUUUUAAAGAUCCCCAGGUGACCCCAAAGCACAGCCACGUUGGGGAACCCCUGCUUUCUCUGUGUUCUCUCUCCAAAAUCCUCUAUGCCCCUAGAAGGAAAUAGCCAUUGCUGCCCCAUUUUAAAGAUGAGAGACCUGAGUCUCUGAGAGUUCAGGUGACACCCAUUGCGUCGGGACAUGAACCAGACGCUUCUAGACCUCUCAUUUGUAACCACUACACAAAGACGCCUUCCUGGUGGGAAAUUGUUAGUGGGUCAAGAGAGUCUUUUUCCAGGAGAAUGCAUUGGGCCUGAGGGACGUUUAAAAAUUGAAUCAAGCUUUUUCCCAUCUUGUGGUUUCUAGUUCUUUGAACAACCAUGAAAGUGAUACCUUUUGCUAUAAGCAUCCCCCUUUUUCCUCUGGAGUUCUAACCCGCUAAUUGAAUCCACUUAACCCCCUACAUUUACUUCAGUAGCUGUAGCACCUCACAGGUCUGAGGUGGGCCCAGACACCAGGAAGGCUUCUUUGCCCAAGCCCCCAGGAGUGUGGCCUCCUGGUGCCCACAGCCUUGACCUGUGUCCUGGGGGCCCUGUCCUGCAGGACAAAGUCCCUCCUCUAGGAACCCAGGUUCUCAGAGCAGCACAUAGCAUCCUCUGUGUGCAAAAGAUUUGGGUCAUUUCCUCCUUGGAUUUAUAACUCUGCAGGGACAUGGCUGGUGUCUCUAAGAUUCUCAGACAUUGAGCAGAAGCCUCCCCUCGGAAGGUUGGAGCUGUGGCAGUUAUUCAGUCUGCAAACAACCAGGGAGCAUGUGCUCCAGGUCUCGUUUCCUUCCUCCUGCUCUCUUCCCUCCAUACGUCCUGCUCCCAUUGUGUCUGUCUGUCUCUCUCUCUUGUUCCCUUUCUCACUAUGGCCCCCAGGCCACACUCUCCUCCUGUAUUAGCUUCCUCCUGCUGCUGUAACAAAAGAUCCCACAGUUCAUGGCUUCAAACAACACCAAUUGAUUCUCUCACAGUCCCAGACACCUGCAAUCACUGUGUGGGUAGACUUCAUUGCUUUUUGGAGAUUGUUCCAUGCCUCUGCCUAAGCCUGGUCUUGCAGCUGGCCCUUGCCAUUCCUGGGUGCAAGGAAGCAUCACCCCCGUCUCCACCUGCACCAUCCCAUGCUCUUCUCCCUGUCCCCUGUGUCUCUGAGUCACAGGCCUGCUUGUAAUGACACUGGUCUUUGGCUAAGGGCCUGCCCUAACCCAGUGUGCUCUCACUUAGAAAAUCAUAAGGUCAGAGAUACUAUUCCCAGAUAAGGUCACAUCUGGAGGCUCCCGUGGACUGGACUUUGGGAGGACACUGUGAACCCAGGACGCCCACUUUCCACCUUGCCAAACCCAUGCUGCUCAGCCAUGUGACCCCAGAAAGCACGUGUUGGAUCAGGUGUCACCCUACCUGUUGAGAACCCUCACCAUUGACCUCGGGAUAAAUCUAACUCCCCAGCCGGGCCUCCAGGUGCUGAGACACGUAGGCUCCAGCUGCCUCUUCAACCUCCGCCCAAAGCGCCCUUCUCACGGCCCACCCCACCGGCGUCCCUCCUGUGCCCUGUCCCCGCCUCUGGUCUCUGACCUCUGUGUCCUUACUGCCCCCCCUGUGAGCACCUUCUCUCUGGCCCUGCUCACCACUGGCUGCUCCUCCUCUAGGUCUCAGCUCAAAGGGCACCUCGUUGUAAAUUCCUU
This 3506-nucleotide long non-coding RNA is filed under the name Sus scrofa (pig). Its description in RNAcentral is "lncRNA (ENSSSCG00000054572.1)". Lineage: Eukaryota; Metazoa; Chordata; Mammalia; Artiodactyla; Suidae. The record is from RNAcentral.